AUUGAACGCUGGCGGAAUGCCUAACACAUGCAAGUCGAGCGGGGGUAGCAAUACUUCAGCGGCGGACGGGUGAGGAACACAUAGGAAUCUACCUUUAGGUGGGGGAUAGCCAGGGGAAAGUCUGGGUAAUACCGCAUGAUCUCGAGAGAGCAAAGGGGCGCAAGUCUCGCCUUUAGAGGAGCCUAUGUCUGAUUAGCUAGUUGGCGGUGUAAUGGACCACCAAGGCGAUGAUCAGUAACUGGUCUGAGAGGACGAUCAGUCACACCGGAACUGAGACACGGUCCGGACUCCUACGGGAGGCAGCAGUGGGGAAUAUUGGACAAUGGGCGAAAGCCUGAUCCAGCAAUUCUGCGUGUGUGAAGAAGGCCUUCGGGUUGUAAAGCACUUUUGUCCGGAAAGAAAUCCUUCAACUUAAUACGUUGGGGGGAUGACGGUACCGGAAGAAUAAGCACCGGCUAACUUCGUGCCAGCCGCCGCAGUAA
This 482-nucleotide ribosomal RNA is filed under the name uncultured bacterium. RNAcentral describes it as "partial 16S ribosomal RNA". It matches the Rfam family "Bacterial small subunit ribosomal RNA", at positions 30 to 523 of the family's 1533-position model. The record is from RNAcentral.